GCCGGAGUGGCGGAAUUGGCAGACGCGCUAGCUUCAGGAGCUAGUAUCUGUAAAGAUGUGAGGGUUCGAGUCCCUCCUCCGGCA
This 84-nucleotide transfer RNA is filed under the name Parcubacteria group bacterium RIFCSPLOWO2_01_FULL_48_18. Its description in RNAcentral is "tRNA-Leu". It matches the Rfam family "tRNA". From Rfam's summary of the family: Transfer RNA (tRNA) molecules are approximately 80 nucleotides in length. The record is from RNAcentral.